AAAUAUGUAUAUAUAUAUUGGUGGAAAAUUGGUUGAAAAGAAAAUAAAUAAAAUAUCUAGAUAUUUAUAAGUUUUCUUAGUCAUUAAGCUAGAAUGGUAGAAUGGUCUUUUUAACCCAAAUCUUAGCCUAUAAAUUGAGAAGCAUUGUCUCAAUUUCCACUCUCACAUUUCACCAGCCCAAGGAGAGAGUGAGAGAGGGAAAGUGUGAUUAGGGUAAAAAAAAAAAAGAAAAAAAAAGAAAAAAAAAAGGAAGAAAAGGUGACUCAAGAAGGUGAGGAAGCAGUUUACAAGGAAGAAGUUUACGAUGGUGAAGGUUAUCUCGAAGGCAACCAAGAUAAAGUGUUGGAGCCGUGGUUCACUUGAAGACUUAGACUAGUAGUUUUUUUUCUUUGACUUUUGGUGUGACAGUAUUUUGUAAUCCUAGUGCAGAACACAAAUGAAUUAACUAUGGUAUUAACUCUGCUUAUAUGUGUAUAUUAAGAUGUUUUGGUUAUCUAUCAUGUUUUAGUUGUACUUUUUUUUUUUUCACGGUCAUGAAUUUUGGGGCGUGACAAUUAGUUACCUAUUAACAGCAAUUUACCAAUUUUUACAAAAUGCAACACUCCUAGAAAAAUAAACAUACAUGCAAAAGAUAAUAUAAUUUUUAACAUAAUAUAGAAUUAAUAGCUUUUAGUACUCAACAUAGAACAAAUACAAUUUGUACACUUGGUACAUUUUGAAUAAAUGGUCAAGGCUAGUGUUACCAAAAAAUGCUAAGACCCCAGCGUUUAUGUUUUGGAAUGCAAGUUCUGAAACAUAUAGUACACUUUCAUUCCAAAAUGGUGAUUUUAGUGAUCCCAAUUUUUUACUAAUUUGUUUCAUUCAAUUUUUCUUUAGGAGGAAAACAAAAGACAAUAUAAAUGAACUAAAUAAUAGAGUAGAGUUUUGAUGGGACAAAAUGUAAAAAAUGGGCCAUAAUGCUCCCAAAAAAUGUGUUAUUACAUAAUCAAUUAAAAGAAUAAUAGACUAUUUUAUUCAAUAACUAUCCAUUUGUAAAAUAGAAAUAGCUCUCACAUUUAGAAGUAAUUUAAAUUGUAAUAGUGUGACUAUACAAGUCUGCCCUCAUCAUACCACAUAUUAGAGUAUAUGUUGUUAUUUUUAUUGGAAUGAUCUGCAUUCCAAGUGACAUAAGUUAAGAUAUUCAAAGAUAUCAAUCAUUUUUUAUUUUUCAAACGUUUACUUGAAUUUUAAUAUUUUUAUACUUUAACUACUUCUUUUUGUGUUUGAAAAAAAAAAAUCACAACCGACUAAAUAUUAAUUCUCUUGGCUGGUGCAGCCCGAUAUAGCCAAGUGUAACCCAAUCACUACAAUUCGGUAUAGCCUAAAAACAUAAGCACGAUAAAAAUCAAGCCCUUUACCAUUUUCUUGCCGGUAUGGUACAACAUUGACAUCUAUGCAUCCAACUGCCUUGUCAAGAAUUUAAGAAAUAUAUUUGGUUUGUCUUUUGAGAAAAAAUUUCAAAAAUUUGUUUGGUUGAAAAUUUUU
Long non-coding RNA from Camellia sinensis, 1524 nucleotides. RefSeq lists it as uncharacterized. The record is from RefSeq and is a predicted model, not a curated record. Lineage: Eukaryota; Viridiplantae; Streptophyta; Magnoliopsida; Ericales; Theaceae.